AGAGUUUGAUCCUGGCUCAGGAUGAACGCUGGCGGCGUGCCUAAUACAUGCAAGUCGAGCGAACUGAUUAGAAGCUUGCUUCUAUGACGUUAGCGGCGGACGGGUGAGUAACACGUGGGCAACCUGCCUGUAAGACUGGGAUAACUCCGGGAAACCGGAGCUAAUACCGGAUAACAUUUUUUCUUGCAUAAGAGAAAAUUGAAAGAUGGUUUCGGCUAUCACUUACAGAUGGGCCCGCGGUGCAUUAGCUAGUUAGUGAGGUAACGGCUCACCAAGGCAACGAUGCAUAGCCGACCUGAGAGGGUGAUCGGCCACACUGGGACUGAGACACGGCCCAGACUCCUACGGGAGGCAGCAGUAGGGAAUCUUCCGCAAUGGACGAAAGUCUGACGGAGCAACGCCGCGUGAGUGAUGAAGGCUUUCGGGUCGUAAAACUCUGUUGUUAGGGAAGAACAAGUACAAGAGUAACUGCUUGUACCUUGACGGUACCUAACCAGAAAGCCACGGCUAACUACGUGCCAGCAGCCGCGGUAAUACGUAGGUGGCAAGCGUUAUCCGGAAUUAUUGGGCGUAAAGCGCGCGCAGGCGGUUUCUUAAGUCUGAUGUGAAAGCCCAC
Molecule: ribosomal RNA, 616 nt
Filed under: uncultured marine bacterium
Lineage: Bacteria
Description: bacterial SSU rRNA
Rfam family: Bacterial small subunit ribosomal RNA
Source: RNAcentral